Y RNA from Callithrix jacchus (white-tufted-ear marmoset), 102 nucleotides. It matches the Rfam family "Y RNA". Rfam says of the family: Y RNAs are components of the Ro ribonucleoprotein particle (Ro RNP), in association with Ro60 and La proteins. The Y RNAs and Ro60 and La proteins are well conserved, but the function of the Ro RNP is not known. The record is from Ensembl. Lineage: Eukaryota; Metazoa; Chordata; Mammalia; Primates; Cebidae.
GGCUGGUCCAAGUACAGUAGUGUUGAAAACUUAUUGGUCACAACCAGUUAUGGAUUUCUCUUUUCCUUCACUACUCCCAUUGUUUACAUUGACUAGCCUAAA